CCUACGGGAGGCAGCAGUGAGGAAUAUUGGUCAAUGGACGAGAGUCUGAACCAGCCAAGUAGCGUGAAGGAUGACUGCCCUAUGGGUUGUAAACUUCUUUUAUAUGGGAAUAAAACGUUCCACGUGUGGGAUUUUGUAUGUACCAUAUGAAUAAGGAUCGGCUAACUCCGUGCCAGCAGCCGCGGUAAUACGGAGGAUCCGAGCGUUAUCCGGAUUUAUUGGGUUUAAAGGGAGCGUAGGCGGAUUGUUAAGUCAGUUGUGAAAGUUUGCGGCUCAACCGUAAAAUUGCAGUUGAAACUGGCAGUCUUGAGUACAGUAGAGGUGGGCGGAAUUCGUGGUGUAGCGGUGAAAUGCUUAGAUAUCACGAAGAACUCCGAUUGCGAAGGCAGUUCACUGGACUGCAACUGACACUGAGGCUCGAAAGUGUGGGUAUCAAACAGGAUUAGAUACCCGAGUAGUC
RNAcentral lists this ribosomal RNA (460 nucleotides) under uncultured bacterium. RNAcentral's name for it is "partial 16S ribosomal RNA". It matches the Rfam family "Bacterial small subunit ribosomal RNA", at positions 338 to 795 of the family's 1533-position model. The record is from RNAcentral.